CAGCCCAAGUGACAAGCGUGAAAGUCUAUCCAAAUAAACCUUCUCCUUCUUCUGUGUCUCAGUCUACACAAACAAUGUCAGCUCUACUAAACCUCCAAACCCCCAAGCUAUACUCCAUUUUCUCCCCCUCUCUUUCUUCACACAAGCUCCCUCAUCCUCAAUUCCCAUCUCUACCCCUAACCUUCACCAGAAAGGCUUCCAUAUGCCUCUCAACUUCCCGUCACUCCGGCCUCGUCCAAGACGAAGACGAAGAACCGAUUAUAGGCGAUUGUGUUGUUUUCGAAGAAGGCAUUUUCGACGACCCGUAUCUCCGCCCUAGCCCGAGAAGCGGCCGCGGUAUUACUGGGCAGCAGAAGAAGAAGAAGAUGAAGGAUUCGGAUGAAGUGGAGCCUGAGAAUCUAGUUCCGGAGAAGUGGAUUGAAGUCCAGAGGGAAGUUAAUAUUACAAAGAAGGAGAAGCGGCGGCUCGCGCUGGAAAUGGAGUUCGGGAGGCGCGUGGAGAGGAGGCGGCUUUUGCUCAGACCUAUUCCCGAUGGCAGCAGGGCCAGCGUAGAGGAGGACUACUCGAAAGUAGUUGAUCAAAAGCUGAAGCAGUUAAAGCCGAUCCUACUUGAUAACCCCGUGUUUCCUGAAGAGGAAGGGAAUAGUGCGAAGAGCGACGAGGAGUUAAGUGGAGGCGAAGAAGAGUUCUCUGUUUCGAAUAGCAGAGUGGCGCCGAAGAACCCGAGACGAGCUGUGUACGGCGGCGGUUUGGAUGAUAUAAGAAACUUCUUCAAUAGUGAGAAUUAUGAUCCUACUGAAACCAAGACAUCUGAAGGCCGUCGUAAGCUAUUCUCCAAGGAGGAAAAACUUCUGUUGAAUAACAAGUUCCCUGAUCUGGCAGUUGCUACCUCUGGAAAAUGGCAACCAUUCCAUACUUUUGCUGCCUCGGGAGAGUUCUACUUCAGCAGAUCUUUGUUAAAACACAUCGUUGAUGUCAAUCUUCCUGACAAUGAUGGUUUGACUGCAAUUCACAGAGCGAUCCUUGCGAAAAAGCACGCGAUUUUCAACUUUCUUUUGAGAGAAUCUGCAAAUCCCUUAAUUCGUGAUAAAGAUGGAGCAACAUUGAUGCAUUAUGCUGUUUGGACAGCCUCUAGCCCGAUGAUAAAGAUACUUCUCUUGUAUAAUGUUGAUAUAAACCUCCAGGACGAAUAUGGCUGGACACCUCUUCACCUUGCUGUUCAGUCCCGGAGAACAGAUGUAGUGAAACUUUUGUUGUUAAAAGGAGCUGACAAGACUUUAAGAAACCGGGAUGGUUUGACUCCAAUUGAUCUUUGCCUCCAUUCGGGAAGGAACAUCAGAACUUACGAACUUCUUAAAUUGCUGAAACAACUUCCUAACAAUAGUAAGAAAAUACUGGCAAGCUGAAUUGCUGCUGAUUGAAUUCGCUAGACAGAUAGCCAACUCGAAGCCACUGGGAUCAGCAUUGUUGUCCAGCUCUGAUCCCAAGUGCAAUUUUAUUCAGUUGGUCUUGUGAUGGUUAUACCAAGAAUGGGUGUACAAAUGACCAGAAAUGUGAACCAGAGAAUACAAAUAAUAGUUAGUUAUGCUAGGGAAAGAGGUUGGACUGUCUUGUUUCAUUGUCCACAUAAAUUACCCUUUAAGCUCCCAUCCAUGGCUCCUUAUGUCAACCAUGCAUGGCCGACCCUGAGCAUGUGCAAAGUGAGUGAUCGCAU
RNA transcript from Ipomoea nil (Japanese morning glory), 1714 nucleotides. It is a transcript of the gene named ankyrin repeat domain-containing protein, chloroplastic, with no coding region annotated. The transcript has 8 exons. NCBI's taxonomy places the organism in Eukaryota, Viridiplantae, Streptophyta, Magnoliopsida, Solanales, Convolvulaceae. The record is from RefSeq and is a predicted model, not a curated record.